Molecule: non-coding RNA, 484 nt
Organism: Biomphalaria pfeifferi
Lineage: Eukaryota; Metazoa; Mollusca; Gastropoda; Planorbidae
Source: the annotation of a GenBank genome assembly
UGUUCCCUAUCAGUAACCUGUGUUCUUAAGUUCCUAUAAAUAUCCUAGGAGCCUUACCAGUAGCCUACGUUCCAUAUCAGUAGCAUGUGUUCCUGGAAAAUGACUAUCACUCAACACUAAUGGUGACCCCAUCUAAAAAACUAGACACAAUUAGAACUUUAUCGGAAACUACUUUUUAUUUCAUGUGACUUAUAACUAAAAAGUUUCUCCUAAGUCUCUGGCAUAUAAAAUUCUUGUGCUUUUGUGAACAUAUUUAGGAUUGAAAGCCAACUCAAAUCAGCCUGAUAGAAAAUUUAAAAAAUCAUUUUUUUUAUUUGUAUACAUAAUAUGUGACACUGAAUUAUUUUAAUGUUCAGAGUUUUAUUGGGUAGUAUUACUUAUUCUAGUGAUUUACUUUCAAAUGUUAUAUUUUAAAAUGUUUUACACAUAACAUGUAAUAUUCACAUUAAAAAUAAAAGUUUUUAAAACAAUAUUCCAAUCCCAC